UACGUAGGGAGCAAGCGUUGUCCGGAAUUACUGGGCGUAAAGGGCGUGUAGGCGGCCGAUCAAGUCAGGUGUGAAAUUUCAGGGCUCAACCCUGAGCGUGCACUUGAAACUGGUUGGCUUGAGUGCAGAAGAGGAAAGUGGAAUUCCCAGUGUAGCGGUGAAAUGCGUAGAUAUUGGGAGGAACACCAGUGGCGAAGGCGACUUUCUGGUCUGUAACUGACGCUGAGGCGCGAAAGCUAGGGGAGCGAACAGGAUUAGAUACCCUGGUAGUCCUAGCCGUAAACGAUGGGUACUAGGUGUAGGGGGUUUAGACGCCCUCUGUGCCGCAGUUAACACAUUAAGUACCCCGCCUGGGGAGUACGGCCGCAAGGCUGAA
RNAcentral lists this ribosomal RNA (376 nucleotides) under uncultured bacterium. RNAcentral describes it as "bacterial SSU rRNA". It matches the Rfam family "Bacterial small subunit ribosomal RNA", at positions 524 to 898 of the family's 1533-position model. The record is from RNAcentral.